RNAcentral lists this ribosomal RNA (253 nucleotides) under uncultured bacterium. RNAcentral's name for it is "partial 16S ribosomal RNA". It matches the Rfam family "Bacterial small subunit ribosomal RNA", at positions 524 to 776 of the family's 1533-position model. The record is from RNAcentral.
UACGUAGGGUGCAAGCGUUAAUCGGAAUUACUGGGCGUAAAGCGUGCGCAGGCGGUUCUAUAAGACAGGUGUGAAAUCCCCGGGCUCAACCUGGGAACUGCAUUUGUGACUGUAGAGCUGGAGUGCGGCAGAGGGGGAUGGAAUUCCGCGUGUAGCAGUGAAAUGCGUAGAUAUGCGGAGGAACACCGAUGGCGAAGGCAAUCCCCUGGGCCUGCACUGACGCUCAUGCACGAAAGCGUGGGGAGCGAACCGG